AGUGCUUUGAGGCAGGCUGGGAGGCUGCUUCUGACUCAGGAUGGUGAGUUGCUAACAGUUUCCUGUACAAGAGGUACCACGCUGUUAUUUUCUGCUGAGUGUAGCUACAGUAUGUGACUAAUUAGCCUCACCUCUAUCAGCCUUUCACACAUGCAACGUGUGUCCUCUUUCCCUUUCUGUUACCCGCUCUCUCUCGUAGGCAAAAGCACACAGACCUUCAAAUAAGAGUCGAUCAUACCCUUGUCCUCAACGGAGAUGGCAGAAAUGGCACGAACGGGCUGACCUUCUGGUUUGAUCUCGGACCUGUCUCAGAAGGUUGUUUGGUGAUGCAGACUCUCCACCUGAACCUGGCAGCCAUCUUUGGGUUUGCUCAACUCACCUCACUAGGUACUAUGGGAUGUGCUCUGGGUAGUGGGUUCCUUGCCUUGCGGGUUGUUAUUGCACUUGGUUCUGCUUUCCUUAGGGAAACCAUUAACCAUCCAUGUUUCCUUGUUCAAGCGUUGGUACUAUCUUUAAACAAGGACUGUCUCAGUCCUUGAGUUACCUCUACUGUAGGGUUAGGCGAGAGUCAGACCUAAUGCAAAACGAAGGGUUAAAUAUAUUGUCCUUUGGGUUGAGAUUGGAGGGAACAAAACAUCCGUUUUUGUAGCUGCUAGAACAGUUCACUUACAAAGUCAAGCUACCAUCUGGCUUCUGAGUGCUGCCAUGGUUUCCUGAAGAACACAAGGAAUGGAGAUACUCAGAAUAUUAGCGUUUUUAUUUUAAUAUCAAAGCAAAUUAUGAAUAGAACAGCAUGAGUCAAUUUACAGAUAAUGAAAGGGAUUUCUGAAGGAUAUCUGUAGGCUGUAAGCUAUGCUGUGCAUAUGAAAAAAAUUACUACCUGACAGAUUUUCAGAGAGAGUGUAAAUGGUCCCUUUUAUACUUCCUUAUCUGUGUGUAUGUGCA
Molecule: long non-coding RNA, 945 nt
Organism: Gallus gallus (chicken)
Lineage: Eukaryota; Metazoa; Chordata; Aves; Galliformes; Phasianidae
Source: Ensembl